This 79-nucleotide transfer RNA is filed under the name Candidatus Bipolaricaulota bacterium. Its description in RNAcentral is "tRNA-Arg". It matches the Rfam family "tRNA". Rfam says of the family: Transfer RNA (tRNA) molecules are approximately 80 nucleotides in length. The record is from RNAcentral. Lineage: Bacteria; Candidatus Bipolaricaulota.
GCGCCCGUAGCUCAGAAGGAAAAAGAGCAGCGGCCUUCUAAGCCGCAGGUCGGGGGUUCGAGUCCUCCCGGGCGCGCCA